Dipodomys ordii (Ord's kangaroo rat) is the source of this 65-nucleotide non-coding RNA. The record is from Rfam. NCBI's taxonomy places the organism in Eukaryota, Metazoa, Chordata, Mammalia, Rodentia, Heteromyidae.
GGUGGCUCAGUGGUAGAGUGCUUGCCUUGCAAGCAUGAGGCCCUGGGUUCCAUUCCUCAGCACCA